CGUUUCCCCGCACCUCCACCA
Molecule: microRNA, 21 nt
Filed under: Ananas comosus (pineapple)
Lineage: Eukaryota; Viridiplantae; Streptophyta; Magnoliopsida; Poales; Bromeliaceae
Description: microRNA s0487_c65a
Source: RNAcentral